Molecule: ribosomal RNA, 512 nt
Filed under: Enterococcus faecalis
Lineage: Bacteria; Bacillati; Bacillota; Bacilli; Lactobacillales; Enterococcaceae
Description: bacterial SSU rRNA
Rfam family: Bacterial small subunit ribosomal RNA
Source: RNAcentral
AUACAUGCAGUCGAACGCUUCUUUCCUCCCGAGUGCUUGCACUCAAUUGGAAAGAGGAGUGGCGGACGGGUGAGUAACACGUGGGUAACCUACCCAUCAGAGGGGGAUAACACUUGGAAACAGGUGCUAAUACCGCAUAACAGUUUAUGCCGCAUGGCAUAAGAGUGAAAGGCGCUUUCGGGUGUCGCUGAUGGAUGGACCCGCGGUGCAUUAGCUAGUUGGUGAGGUAACGGCUCACCAAGGCCACGAUGCAUAGCCGACCUGAGAGGGUGAUCGGCCACACUGGGACUGAGACACGGCCCAGACUCCUACGGGAGGCAGCAGUAGGGAAUCUUCGGCAAUGGACGAAAGUCUGACCGAGCAACGCCGCGUGAGUGAAGAAGGUUUUCGGAUCGUAAAACUCUGUUGUUAGAGAAGAACAAGGACGUUAGUAACUGAACGUCCCCUGACGGUAUCUAACCAGAAAGCCACGGCUAACUACGUGCCAGCAGCCGCGGUAAUACGUAGGUGGC